AGUGUUGGACUGGAUAAUCUUGGAGUGGGUAUAACCAUCAGAGGCAUUUUCUUCUUCAAAACAACACCAAACUUCUCUGUAAGGUCUAAUAUCUCUCCUUCGGGCAACUUCCAGUCGAAAGAAUGAACGAGUGAAGCCAGUGAAUACAUGAACAUCCUCUCACCCAUGGCUAUCCCCACACAAAUUCUUCUGCCAGAACCAAAUGGAAAGUAGUUGAAAUCAUUUCCACUAUAGUCCCAUUUAUUGCCCAAAAAUCUUUCCGGAUGGAAUUCAGUUGGAUUUUCCCAGAUAGAAGGAUCUCUCUGCAUAGCCCAUACAUUUACAUAAACACGAGAUCCUUUAGGAACAGUGUAUCCUCCCACAGUGCAUGUCUCACUAGGACAAUGUCGCGAUAAGAGUGGAAGAGUUGGAUGUAAGCGCAAGACUUCUUUCAUAACUGCAUAGAGAUACGGUAAUUGUUGAAUAUGAGACUCUUCAACAAUAUUAUCUUUUCCCACAACUCUCUCUAGUUCUUGUUGUAAUUUCCUCAGGACAUAUGGUUUGUUCAUAAUUUCAGCCAUGGCAAACUCAACUGUGUUGGAGGUUGUGUCGGUUCCACCAAUAACCAUAUCCUGUUCAUAGUAUUUGUGAAGUUCAACAAUUUUUUUAUUUGCAGAACUGUCUAUGGGAGCUCAAUUCAAGGUUCACAGUUAAGUUUACACAUAUUAUCUGAUGCUAAAUUUGCCGACUCUUUCCUUUAUGCAGUCCAAUAACAAGUUAGCAACUAACAGUUCAGGACAUGAAUAUAUGAAUCUGAUAUAUCUAAUAUUUAUAACUCAUUUUCCACAAUAAUUCUUCAAUAGCAUUUGAUCCUUUUACUAUGACUAAAUUGUCACUAUAAUCUAUAACAUGUAAGGAAAUAGACUAUUUCAAGUAAAAUGCAAAACUAUGAAACCAGAACCACACCUAAGAACGUGAAUUUUCCAGGCAGAAAAAUGCAACCAACAGUCAGGACAUUAGUUUACGAAUCUGAUUCUUCUGAAAUGUAUUCCCUAUAUGCCACAAUAAUUCUUCUAUGAAUUUACAAUCCCGUUAUCUAUUUCAUUUGAUUUUGAUGCUUUUAUUAUACAACAACAACAAACCCAGUGUAUUCCCACUUUGUGGGGUCUGGGGGGGGUAAGAUGUACGCAGUCCAUCACGGACAGUGUACUGUGUAAGCUAAUAGUUAAUCCAUAUAGAUAAGGAAAAAAUGGUUGAAGACAAAUGCAAUCUUGGCUACUCAAUAAUAAUGUAGUGAUGACUAAGGAGAGGACGAUUUCUUUUUGGUUCAUUUGAAAAAUACAUAUUUAGAAGGAAACAAUCAUAGUAGCAUCCACUGAAAUUAACAGAUUUAUCGUGUCGUAGAAUGCACAACUGAUAAAACAUACCAUAAGUAAUGCUUUGAGUUCAGUCAUAGACAGAGGCAUUUUGGUAUCUGCUUCAUCUUUCAACUUCAGCAAAACUUGCAAAAAGUCCUUGCUUUCUCGGCCAACAAAAGUUCCCAUCUCACCAUUUCUAUCCAAUUCUUUUCUUUGAUCAAUCACGCUCUCAAAUAUCUUAUCAAAUCUCUUUGACAACACCUUCAUCUUCUUUGUAAGACCCUGCAAAUCAAACCAGUCCAAGCCCGGGUAAAAAUCAGAAAGAUUGGGCAUGCCAAGCAGCUCAGUCAUCUCAGUCACAACAUGCCUAAACUCAGCUCCAAGAGUAGCUCUUUCCUCAACCUUCACUGUGUCACCCCAUAUCAUGCUUGUAAUCACAUUAAGCAUUGUCAAGAACAUCUGUUCACCAACAUUCACAGGCGAUCCUGACUGAUUAUAGAAGCAAUUGAUUGAUUCUCUAAGCUCUUGUCGCCUUAGUCCACAAACAGAAUCUAAAGCAGAACCAUUAAGCAUAUCGCGAACACAAACCUUCCUCAACAUGCGCCAUUUCGGUCCGUAAGGAGUCCAAACUAUGUCUUUGCCACCAUAUGAAGAUUCUCUAGCAGCAGCAGGCAUAUCUCUGUUAGCAAAAAGGGUAUCUUGAUCCUUAAGCACCUCACGAGCUAAGGAAGGAGAAGUAAUAAUAAUCCCAAUUUUUUUUCCAAGCCAGAGUCUACAAAUGGGCCCAUAAGUUUGCGAAAGAGAUGCAAAAUAGGUGUGGAGUUCAGGAUCAAGAGAAUGGAGAUUACCUAUCAAGGGAAAAGCUUUAGGCCCGGGUGGCAAUGGCGGCACUCCCUUGUUUGAGUUACUGAUGAGAAAUGAAACAAACCAUAGUACAGCUAAAAUACCAAGAAAAUAGGUGAAAAAUACACCAUUUUUCUCCAUAUUGGAUUCAUGCAGGGGCAUUGCGAAAGAAUCAAACAGAGGUUUGAAGAAUUUGAGUGACAUUAUUUGAACCUAAGAGGGUAAUGGAAAAUGCCAGAAGCAAUGUGGUGUGAAGCUUUUGCACCACUUAAGUUUUCGAGCAACAUAGGAUAAGACAAAAGCAGCUGAAUGCAAAUGCAACCUUGUCUACUCAAAAUAAUGCAAUAGUCACCAUAAAUGGUUUGAACUUUGAACUGUCAUAAAGGGAAGGUUGUUUGUUCCCCAUAUUUGAACACCUUAGAAGUUAGAAAGGACCAACCAAUAUUACAUCAUAAGAAAGACAAUUACCUGAAGAACAAAUAUAUGUUGGGUAAGACCAAAAGUGACUCUUGAAAGGCUACAGAAUAACAAUAUGAAUAUGAACAUACCUCCCCAACACAACUGUUGGUUCCAAUUUGUUUUUCCAGAGUCAUUGUAGACAAAAUAAACUAACGGAAUAAUUAUAUAUAACCUCCCCUCAAAUUUGGCUACAUCACAGUUACUUUUGUUGUUUUGUGAUAUUACUAGUUUAGGUGUACGUGUAGCUCACUUUAUUGAGUUCAAACGUUAGAAUAUUUGUUUAAAAAAUAAAGAUGAAUACAAUAAUUAAAUUCAACAUCUUUUGGAGAAUCUAUUUAAUUAAACUUUACUUUUACCAAAAAAAAAAUCUCAAAGCUGAUCGACAUUUAUCUACCACCUGUAAACUGCAACAAAACAAUAUGAUGAUAGAGUCAUCAAAACAAUAUAAUUAAAUCUAACCUUCGCACAAAAAUUUCUUCAAAGUCGUCUGACACUCAUCUAUAAUCUGUAAACUAUAACAAAAUAAUACCAUAAUAGAGAUAUCAAAUAAUACAACUAAACUUUACCUUUACACAAAAAAAAAUCUCAAAAUAGGGAUAUAAAAACAAUACAAUUAAACAUAACCUUUACUUAAAAAAAUUUCUCAAAGUCGACCGACAUUCAUCCACAAUAGAGAUAUCAAAUAAUACAACUAAACUUUAUCUUUACACCAAAAAAAAAUCUCAAAAUAGGGAUAUAAAAACAAUACAAUUAAACAUAACCUUUACUUAAAAAAAUUCUUCAAAGCCGACCGACAUUCAUCUACUACCUGUAAAUUCAUCUACGGCCUAUAAACUACAACAAAAUAAUACAAUAGUGAUCACAAAGCUUAAUUUUGUAGAAAUAAUUCUUGUCCGAGAAAAAAUUUUGACACUAAAGAAUAACUUAAAUGAAAACAAAGAAGAUAUAUAUAUAUAUAUAUAUAUAUACACGUUGAAUUCUAUUAUGUUGAUAAAAAUAAUCUAGUAAAAAAAAUUACAACAACUAAUGCCUUGUUAAAAUAGGUAAGAAAAAUUAAUUUACCUAAAUUAAAGAAUAUUACAUGAGUUUAUACCUAAACUAAUUUUAUUCGUAACAAAUCCUACGUUUAAAAGGACUCAUAAAUUAAAUUAGUUACCCUAAUAAAAUUAAAUAAUAAUUUAAAAAAAUAGUGAAGGGUAAAAAGUUUAAAUCACUUUUAUAAGGGUUUUCACAUGUUUUAUAUAUUAUAGAUAUAGAUUAUAGACAUAGAUAUAGAUUAUAAAUAUAAAUUAUAGAUUAUAGAUAUAAAUAAUAGAUUAAUGAAAUGGCCUUCAGUAUAUUUAGGAUUGAUUUUUAAUAUCGUAGUUAAAAAAAAAAUUAAUAUGGUUGGUCUUUAUUAUUAUUCCACAUAUUAUUUAUUAGUAUUAAAAUAAUAUGAGUUCCAAAUAAACUAAACUUUACUUAUAGGAAUUUUAGUCUUUUUUUCCUUUUCUUUUCUAGACACUAACGUUCCAUUUUUAAUUUGGUUCAAUUUUGUAUUAAACUUUACUAAUCUGAAUUUUAGCUUUCUUUUUCCUUUCUAAUUUUGUACGUUAAAUUGGGUUUUAAAUUUGGUUCUAUUUUGUCCUUUCUUUUUUUUAUUUCAAUUCAAGUAAUGAAAUAGAAAGUCCUAUUUUAAGAGUAUUUUUCUAUCCUAUUUUAGCAAAAAUAUUAAUUGAUUUUUCUUCCAUAUAUUUUAGGAGUCCCAUAUAUUUUAAGAGUCUAGUUAAUAUAAUAAAAAUAGUUAAAUAAUAAAUUAGAAAAAUAGUGAAAAGACAAUUUUAUCUAAAGGAGUCUUUUAAUUUAGGACAAAAAAUUCAAAUCACUUUUUUAGAGCCUUCACACUUUUAAUAUAUUAUAGAUUAUAGAUAUAGAUGUUUUCCUUUUUAUUUUAAUUUUCUUUUUACCGAUUGUUUUGACCUAAUUAUUAUUAAUACAAAAAUAAAUGAUUUAACUAAUUGUUUAUUUUAUUUUGUAAACACGCUUUCUUCAAGCAAAUAUUGACAAGAGAACAAAGAAAACACCCUUUUCAUAUUUAUUCUUCAUGUGUAUAAACUGUAUAGAAAACUUUGAAUCAAUUUCAAAGGGGAUUCCAUUUUCAUGGAACACAUUUCCAUAGUUCAUCAUGUAAAACCAAAUCGUCAUGCAGAACGCAGCUCUCGACAGAUACAUUUUUAUCUUACUCAUACAGUGUUGGAUUGGAUAAUGUUGGAGUAGGUAUAGCCACCAGAGGCAUUUUCUUCUUCAGAACAAUCCCAAACUUCUCUGUAAGGUCUAAUGCCUCUCCUUCAGGCAACUUCCAGUCGAAAGAAUGAACAAGUGAAGCCAGUGAAUACAUAAACAUCCUCUCUGCCAUGGCUAUUCCCGCACAGAUUCUUCUGCCAGAACCAAAUGGAAAGUAGUUGAAAUCAUUUCCACUAUAGUCCCAUUU
This 5109-nucleotide long non-coding RNA is filed under the name Capsicum annuum. RNAcentral describes it as "long non-coding RNA (CANN_LNC000111)". The record is from RNAcentral. Lineage: Eukaryota; Viridiplantae; Streptophyta; Magnoliopsida; Solanales; Solanaceae.